UACGCGAUUCGUCUGCUCAUUAAACCCAUUUCAAACCUUUCCUCUCUCUUUUCAAUUCUUUCAACUUCUCAAUUUUGCCUCGUUCACUUCCCAAAACCUCCCAAAAUGCAUUCUCAAAUAAAAACCCUAGCGUCGAAGAAUCUCCGUCGCUGACCACAGUCCCGACGACAGUAGAGUCCAGUUUUUUCAAACAGAGCGUGAACGAUGAGAAAUUUCUGCCGCUGACCACAUUCCCACGCUUGCAUCAACCGACCACGAAUUAGAUAAAUGGCUAAACAACGAGAAAUUUUGAACACCACAGAGCCAGAUGGCAUUGAAGAAUCUUUGCGAAUUGUUAACAAGCGAAGGAGAGGAAAGAAUGCAGCUGAUGAGGCAAAUGAUCGAGACGCUGAACAUGUUCAGCAUAUCGAGAAGGGAAUAAAUCACUCCAUUUCAGGAGUUCUCAUGAAUAUUUUAGUCGUUUGAUUGCUAGGCUUAAUUCAAAGCCGAGGAAUGCAGUCCGGGAGAUGGGAUUCAGACCACUGCUCCAUUUCUCAUUAAUCGACCUACCGGGCAACCUAGCAUACUGGAUUUGUAUCAAAUCUGCAUAUCGCAUCGAGCAACAUCAAGCUUGCUGGAAACCAGCCACUACAUAUUGAUGUGGAAGACGUCCAUGUGACGCUUGGAUUUCCAAAAGGUUCUAUGCCAAUCAGACGAAAGAAUAGGCUUGAGGGUCACCCGUUUGCCGAUGGGAUUGCUGCUCGUAUUGGCAAAGAUAAAGCUCAACUUCUAGACACUGAUGUAGAGAAUGGGAUGUUUGAUCUUUUUCUUUGACUUGGAAAUGCCUUGUAGUUGAAUUGUGAAUCAUUUUUUUGUCAGCAAUGCGAAUGUUUGUUAAUGGUGGUGCAA
This is a long non-coding RNA of Salvia splendens (bonfire salvia), 888 nucleotides long. RefSeq lists it as uncharacterized. The record is from RefSeq and is a predicted model, not a curated record. NCBI's taxonomy places the organism in Eukaryota, Viridiplantae, Streptophyta, Magnoliopsida, Lamiales, Lamiaceae. The transcript is spliced from 2 exons.